This 533-nucleotide small RNA is filed under the name Vigna angularis var. angularis. RNAcentral describes it as "Non-protein coding transcript". Lineage: Eukaryota; Viridiplantae; Streptophyta; Magnoliopsida; Fabales; Fabaceae. The record is from RNAcentral.
UUCUACUUCUACUUCUACAGUAAGCGACAGUGGUGGUUUGGCACCAGAUUUUGCCUUCGUAGCAGGCUUCAGUUUUAUGUAUGAUUUGCUCGAGAACGCCACAGAUAAUUUUGAUCCCGCAAACAAAUUAGGCCAAGGUGGAGCUGCUUCCGUGUUCAAAGGAACCCUCCCCACUGGGAAGACUGUUGCUGUUAAACGAUUAUCUUUUAAUAAACGGCAAUGGACAGAGGGGUUCUUCAAUGAGGUCAAUUUGAUUAGUGGGAUUCAACACAAGAAUGUGGUGAAGCUUUUGGGGUGCAGCAUCGAAGGCCCUGAAAGCCUGUUGGUUUAUGAAUUUGUGCCCAAUGGAAGUCUUGAUCAAGUCCUUUUCGGUAAGGGCUCAGAAGAUGCUCUGAACUGGGAAAAACGGUUUCAAAUCAUAUGUGGGAUAGCUGAGGGCCUAGCAUACCUUCAUGAAGGUUCUGGAACAAAGAUUAUUCACAGAGACAUAAAGUCGAGCAACAUUCUAUUUGAUGAGAAUAUGAAUCCAAAAA